GAGUUUGAUCAUGGCUCAGAUUGAACGCUGGCGGCAUGCCUUACACAUGCAAGUCGAACGGCAGCAUGAUCUAGCUUGCUAGAUUGAUGGCGAGUGGCGAACGGGUGAGUAAUACAUCGGAACGUGCCCUGUAGUGGGGGAUAACUAGUCGAAAGAUUAGCUAAUACCGCAUACGACCUGAGGGUGAAAGUGGGGGACCGCAAGGCCUCAUGCUAUAGGAGCGGCCGAUGUCUGAUUAGCUAGUUGGUGGGGUAAAGGCCCACCAAGGCGACGAUCAGUAGCUGGUCUGAGAGGACGAUCAGCCACACUGGGACUGAGACACGGCCCAGACUCCUACGGGAGGCAGCAGUGGGGAAUUUUGGACAAUGGGCGAAAGCCUGAUCCAGCAAUGCCGCGUGUGUGAAGAAGGCCUUCGGGUUGUAAAGCACUUUUGUCCGGAAAGAAAUGGCUCUGGUUAAUACCUGGGGUCGAUGACGGUACCGGAAGAAUAAGGACCGGCUAACUACGUGCCAGCAGCCGCGGUAAUACGUAGGGUCCAAGCGUUAAUCGGAAUUACUGGGCGUAAAGCGUGCGCAGGCGGUUGUGCAAGACCGAUGUGAAAUCCCCGAGCUUAACUUGGGAAUUGCAUUGGUGACUGCACGGCUAGAGUGUGUCAGAGGGGGGUAGAAUUCCACGUGUAGCAGUGAAAUGCGUAGAGAUGUGGAGGAAUACCGAUGGCGA
Molecule: ribosomal RNA, 720 nt
Filed under: uncultured Ralstonia sp.
Lineage: Bacteria; Pseudomonadati; Pseudomonadota; Betaproteobacteria; Burkholderiales; Burkholderiaceae
Description: bacterial SSU rRNA
Rfam family: Bacterial small subunit ribosomal RNA
Source: RNAcentral